Molecule: Y RNA, 103 nt
Filed under: Echinops telfairi (small Madagascar hedgehog)
Lineage: Eukaryota; Metazoa; Chordata; Mammalia; Afrosoricida; Tenrecidae
Description: Y RNA (ENSETEG00000023628.1)
Rfam family: Y RNA
About the family: Y RNAs are components of the Ro ribonucleoprotein particle (Ro RNP), in association with Ro60 and La proteins.
Source: RNAcentral
GGCUGGUCCGAGUGCAGUGGGGCCACAGCUGACGAUCACAGCCAGUUACAGGUUCUUCCUCUGUUCUUCUCCCACCGCCACGGCUUCACUUGACCGGCCUCUA